Molecule: non-coding RNA, 137 nt
Organism: Peromyscus maniculatus bairdii (prairie deer mouse)
Lineage: Eukaryota; Metazoa; Chordata; Mammalia; Rodentia; Cricetidae
Source: RefSeq, a predicted model, not a curated record
CUUGCUGGGCGGUGGCGCACGCCUUUAACCCCAGCACUCGGGAGGCAGAGCCAGGCGGAUCUCUGUGAGUUCGAGGCCAGCCUGGGAUACCAAAUGAGUUCCAGGACAGCCAGGGCUACACAGAGAAACCCUGUCUC